RNAcentral lists this long non-coding RNA (763 nucleotides) under Mytilus galloprovincialis (Mediterranean mussel). Lineage: Eukaryota; Metazoa; Mollusca; Bivalvia; Mytilida; Mytilidae. The record is from RNAcentral.
CUUUUUUUUAAUGUUUUUAGUUUGCCCUUAUUGCAUAAUGGACAUGCACUAUUCAACUCUUAAUAUAUUGAUAAAUUUGAUAAUGAUUAUUAUUAUCUUACAUUACAAUUUACCUAUAACAUGUAUAAUACCUGUUAGCUCUUCUGCAAUACAUGUGUCUUGCUUAUUUUCUAAUGUUUCAUGUAAUCCCUGAAGGUCGUUCAUUUGUUUAGCUUUAACGUGCAAACCAUGUGCUAAAUUCAAAUGGUGUUCACUACGGAUAAGGGUGUGUCAUUGUUAUUAUUCAUAUCUUUCUCCAAAGGUUCAUCAUCAUAUUCAUUAAUAUUAUCAUCAUCAUCUUCGUCGUUGCUGUCGUCAGAAUAUUGAUGUGCAUCUUUCACGCAUCCAUUUGAAUUCUUUGUGCACAUAUGUAACAUAAAUUUAUCAGCUGGAAUGAUUAAUCUUUUAGUUCCAUAAGGUGAAUAUUUUGGUAACUGUUUUUGGUUGCAUUUCAAACCAUACUCCUUUUAUAACGUUUGUUGCCUGCAAGUGGUGCUCUAAGUGGCAUCAUCUGUGCUAUUUCCAAGUAAUUUGCCACUGUCACAGAUUUUUCUCUUUGUUGAUAAAUGAGUACAAUGCGAAAAGUAGUGCAUAUUUUCUUUAGUCAUGUACUCAGUCUUCUCGAGUAGUUUUAAGUAAUAUUCAUCCAACUUUUCUUUCGAUAUAUUCGCCAUUUUGUUUGUAUUUAUAUCAAUUAUAGUCAUUACGUCAUGUCUUAUUUAAA